RNAcentral lists this ribosomal RNA (207 nucleotides) under uncultured bacterium. RNAcentral's name for it is "partial 16S ribosomal RNA". It matches the Rfam family "Bacterial small subunit ribosomal RNA", at positions 568 to 774 of the family's 1533-position model. The record is from RNAcentral.
CGCGUAGGCGGAUUAAUAAGUUGGGGGUGAAAUCCCAGGGCUCAACCCUGGAACUGCCUCCAAAACUGUUAGUCUUGAGUUCGAGAGAGGUGAGUGGAAUUCCGAGUGUAGAGGUGAAAUUCGUAGAUAUUCGGAGGAACACCAGUGGCGAAGGCGGCUCACUGGCUCGAUACUGACGCUGAGGUGCGAAAGCGUGGGGAGCAAACA